Molecule: ribosomal RNA, 252 nt
Filed under: uncultured bacterium
Lineage: Bacteria
Description: partial 16S ribosomal RNA
Rfam family: Bacterial small subunit ribosomal RNA
Source: RNAcentral
GCAAGUCGGACGGUAACGGGAAGAAGCUUGCUUCUUUGCCGACGAGUGGCGUACGGGUGAGUAAUGUCUGGGAAACUGCCCGAUGGAGGGGGAUAACCACUGGAAACGGUGGCUAAUACCGCAUAAUGUCUUCGGACCAAAGUGGGGGACCUCCGGGCCUCACACCAUCGGAUGUGGCCAGACGGGAGUAGCGGGUGGGUGAGGUAAAGGCUCACCUAGGCGACGAUCCCUAGCUGGUCUGAGAGGAGGAGC